CAUGUCCCUAUGAUGGCAAUGCAGGUAGAAAGUGGUGAUCUCAUUGCAUAUGGCCUUAUUCCAGAGUUUGUUGGAAGGUUUCCUGUUGUGGCUAUCUUAUCAGCUUUGAGUGAAGACCAAUUAGUUCAGGUUCGCACAAAGCCGAAAAAUGCUCUCGGUAAACAGUACAAGAAGACGUUCUAGACGAAUAAUGUUGAAUUACUGUUUACAGAUAAUGCCUUGAAAUUAAUUGCUAAGAAAGCAUUGGUAAAGAACACUGGUGCACGGGGUUUAAGAGCUCUACUGGAGAAUAUACUGAUCGAAGCAA
Syzygium oleosum is the source of this 307-nucleotide long non-coding RNA. RefSeq lists it as uncharacterized. Lineage: Eukaryota; Viridiplantae; Streptophyta; Magnoliopsida; Myrtales; Myrtaceae. The record is from RefSeq and is a predicted model, not a curated record. The transcript is spliced from 3 exons.